RNAcentral lists this ribosomal RNA (295 nucleotides) under Bacillus cereus. RNAcentral's name for it is "partial 16S ribosomal RNA". It matches the Rfam family "Bacterial small subunit ribosomal RNA", at positions 555 to 848 of the family's 1533-position model. The record is from RNAcentral. Lineage: Bacteria; Bacillati; Bacillota; Bacilli; Caryophanales; Bacillaceae.
UGGGCGUAAGCGCGCGCAGGUGGUUUCUUAAGUCUGAUGUGAAAGCCCACGGCCUCUUAAGUGGAGGGUCAUUGGAAACUGGGAGACUUGAGUGCACUUGAGAAAAGUGGAAUUCCAUGUGUAGCGGUGAAAUGCGUAGAGAUAUGGAGGAACACCAGUGGCGAAGGCGACUUUCUGGAAUGUAACUGACACUGAGGCGCGAAAGCGUGGGGAGGGAACAGGAUUAAAUACCCUGGUAGUCCUCCCCGUAAGCGAUGAAUGCUAAGUGUUAGAGGGUUUCCCCCCUUUCGUGCUG